Molecule: non-coding RNA, 7052 nt
Organism: Macaca mulatta (Rhesus monkey)
Lineage: Eukaryota; Metazoa; Chordata; Mammalia; Primates; Cercopithecidae
Source: RefSeq, a predicted model, not a curated record
GUAGGCACCUGUGGUCCCAGCUACUGUGGUGCUGAGGUGGGAGGAUAACUUGAGCCCGAGAGGCAUGACAGGUGUGUAUAGGGGCUGAGCAGCAGGUACUUUCUGAAUCUCAAGGGAAGACCUGCAGCCUGUGAGCACUUCAUGGGCCACAGACGGAGCGCCUGUUGUCAUCCGCAUGGGAGAAGUCUAGGGAUGUGGCUGUGCUGAGGCCAGCGGCCUGCGGGUGCACGGCCAGUGAGCGGGACUCUUUCCAGCAACACCUUCAGGAGACUCUUUGGUGGUUUCUUUUCUCCCUCAUGUUCUGAUAAAGAUGACGCGGGGAUGUGCCAUGCAUCCCAUAUCUGAGAAAUGCUCGCCUCCUGUGUGCCGGACACUGGGCCAUGUGCUGGUGGACGGACAGGGCGGCGGAGCCAGUUUAUCCUGAAAGUCCUUUGCACACAUCUCUUAUUACAUGUGUGUCAAGACUGAAAAUAAAGUAUGGAACCAGGGUGUCACAGAUGGGGGUCACAGACACACAGCAGAUACAGCAUGGCGCUCCCAGCAGUGAUGCGGGAGAGCAUGUACAGUCCCCGGACGCAGCCUGUGCGCAGCAAGAAAUUCAUUAGGGGAUCUCUGGCCCCAGGUGCCACCCGGGAGCGUGCGUGUGCAAGGCCACCUGACCAGCGAGGGCCCUGGGAUGGCCUGACCCGUCAGGAAUGCUGACAGCAGGGGCUGGCUCAGUUACCAAAAGGGGAAACAAAGGCACUCCAGGGCUUCCCUGGGGCUCGCACCUUCCUGAGGUCUUCAGUCCCCCUGGAGAUGGAAGGGAGGUGGCCGAGUGGCCUGUGGCGCAGGGCUCCCUUGCUGUUCCUUGCAACCUGGGGGGUCUCUGACUCUUGGAGCUGAGUGACAGGUGGGGAUUUUUGUCCCUCUAAGGGUCUUUGGAUGAUCGACUCCCAACUGACGCUCCAGGCUGGUAUCUACAAUACAUGCUCUGAGGAAAGCUAGUCUGUGAAAUGAUGCAUUAAAGGGUUCUGUUAUGGGUUGGGAGUCCGAGUCCCUCUUGGGGAGAGCCGUGGUGCCGGGAGCAGCUGGAGGCCUCAGGGCGUGCUUAGCUUUGCUUCCCCAGCUUUGCUGACCCCAAUAAGCUCUUCCCCACGUGGUACCUGUCAGCAGCGCAGCGGGAAGCUCUGUGUGUGUGAAACCACACAAGGGGUUCAGAGCUAUCCUCAGGGCAGACCUGGAGUUUUUUCUGGUGUUCCUUAAAAGCAUCUGAUGAAUAUUGGGAUUAAUUUCCUGAAGAACUUGGAAGAGAGUUUCUCUCUCCUUUCUGAAAACUGAACGUUCAGAUCAGCACAUGAUAGGAAUCUGGAUGGCGGAGAAGAUUUGGGUCAAUCUCCCCAGUGCCCCAAAUCCAGUGAAAUGACAACAAUUUUUUUAAAAAAUUAAGUGUAUUGUUUUUAAAAAUACAUCCACAAGUUUCUGACGAUCUCCCUCAGUUUAUCCUCCCCUUCAGCAUGGUCACUCAUGGUCACUUGUUUUUAAUGAGUAGGAAGCGACUGGGGUGGCCGUGGGUGGCUUCUGUUGGCAUGUGGUUUCCUGCUUGCUCUUGGAUGCUGCACUCUGGAGAAGCUGGCUGCCACAUCUGCAGGACACUUGCGCAGCUCUCUGGGGAGGUCUGAGGCCUCUCCCAGCAAUGCUGCUGGCUGAAGGUGUGUGGAAGCAGGUCCUCCAGCCCCAGUUGAGCCUUCAGAUGAUGCAGCCCUAGCCGUCACCUUGAGGGCAACCUCAGGAGAGCCCCAGCACUGCCCAGCUAACCCAGAGACCACAGGUGAGAAUGUAUGUUCCUGUUGUAAGGCACAAGUUUCAGAGCAGUGUUACACAGCGUAGUAACUGGUGUCUAAGUGUGACUCCCUAACCAUAGUGCUCACCUCCACUCAAGAAAGUGCUGAUGGUGGAUCAGACAUCUUGAGAAAGAGAAACUAAUGGAACAGACGUCUGAGAAAUAGGAGUAGAGCUGUCCUAGUCAGGCAAUGCCUGGCCUUGGAAUGGAUGGGGAAGGAUGGAGGCAGGCAGGUGGGAUCGUAGCGGGGGGUGCAUUCUGUCCCCACUCCCCAGGCUAUGCAGACCCACUGGGCAGAGGCUGCUGGCCUGCUCUCCCCUCUUGCAUGGUGCCCGGGGCACCAGGCUCAUGGGGUGCACUCUGUUAGUGGGCAGGUUAGAGGGACUAGGAAGGAAGACCUCUUGUCCCAGGCAACCUGCAGAGGCAGGGAGCCCCGGGGGGAGGCCCUGGGAGGAGCCCUGAGGGAGGGCUCUGGCUCCGCAUCCAUCUGGAGCUUUGCCCCGGAUUGCCGUUCCCGUCUUCCCAGGAUUCCGACUCUGUGCUUCGAAAUGUUGUGACAUGAUCUCUUCUGUUGUCUUAGUUGGGGCUCUUUCUGUUGCAAGUGACAGAAGCCCAAUGUGAAGGAGCCUGUGCCCGGGGGCUUCUGCCCUGGGGGCUCCUGAGGUGCAGCCACCGCCCUUGGUCCCUGCUGUGCUGCUUUCUGCAGAUGGCUUUGUCUCUACUGCCAGCAGGACGUCUGCUCACCGUGGGACAUGUGUAGACACAGUGUUGACGUCUUAAAGCCUUAAUUCUCAUUCCGCUAUGCAGAGGAGUGACUUCAGCUGCCAACUCUGGCUCCCAAGGCUCCAGGAGAGGUUCUGUGGGACUAGACCCGGGUCAGCGGCUCUGAUGGGCACAGGAUCGUGCGAUGCAGGCAUGGCUGUCGGCCAAAGGGCUUCUUGUGCUCAGGCUGCUGCCGGCUCAUGUCCAGGUCAUUUCUCCCACGCCACAAAUCCUGCUUGCCCAAAGUAAAAAUGGAGCUUGUAAAGUUAGCACGGUGGACAUUUGUGCACUUAUGGGACAGAGAAGGCUUGAACUUCAUUCCGAGGGGAAAGAAGCCAGCCCUGGCGUUAUUACUCUGUUAGAUAAGCCUGUGUCUCUCUGGGGUUUACAAGUAUCUUCACCCCAUCGCAGGUGACCAGGAAGGACUUCUGGGCCUCACCCGCCUCACUGCCACAUGAAACUCGGUCCCACAAGCCCCCCCGGGAAAGCUGGUUUUGUCCCGAGUGCCGAGAUGCAUAGUGGCUGGUCGGUUCCUCAGGAUGCCACAGUCCGGUAAGGAGAGCAGAGGGUGCAGCAGCCCUUAUGGCUGGGUGAGGGGUAUGGGGACUCCGGGCAGGGACAGCUGCUCAGAGAGAGGGGUCAGGACAGUCAUGACCAUCGGGUGGAUGGCUGAGGCAGGAUGUCACUGCAGGCUCAUUGUCCCUAGUCCUGGCCAGACUUGCUGUGACCACCUGUCUGGGCCCUGAAGAGGGCAGAGGAAUUGCUCAGGUGGGGCCAGGGCACAGGGCUGAGGCCUGCAGUCAGGCCGUGCCAGUUUGCAGAGAACAUCCGGGGCACCCCUGAGCAGGCGGCUCUUCUGAAUCGUUCGUGUUCUGCUCUCUGUUUUCUGCCUUGGGAAGUGAUUAUUUUUCAACACGAUCUCUUAAAUGCGGUGGGGGCAGGGCACUAGAAGCAUCCAGGCAUGAAGACAGCCCCCAGGUCAGCGGGGCUGGGGGAGUUGGGCUGGGCGGGGGCUGCAGAGCAGGAGGCUGUGCUCCCAUCACGGUCUGUCCCUGGCGUGAGCAGCGCUGGUCGUGACAGUUCUGGGGUGGAGCUUGCUUUUCGACGGAAGCCACUCUCCCCGGGACGUGCCUGCCUGCCUGCCUUUAUUAUUAUAGUUUAAUGUCUCAGCCUGCCUGCCUUUAUUAUAGUUUAAUGUCUUUCAUUGUCCAUGUUAAAAAUGCUUGUGUUUAUUUUGCACCAACUGUUCAAAAAAACCCACCCAUUCUAACAUCCAAAUAGGAUUUCAUCUGAGUUAUACAACAGCCUGGCAAAGGGCAAGUCAAUGAAAUCAAUAUAAUCUGCCCUAGCGUCCGUGUAUUUUCCAGCCUGCUCCAUUGCUAAUCACUCCUGAAGCUGCCUGGGUGCCCCGGCUUUACUGAUUGCCUCUGCAGAAGAAUGUGUGUGGGGGGGUCCCCAAGGACACAAGGACGUCACUGGCAGGACCGGAGACAGAGGCACGCUCUCCAGAGGCCUGUCCUGCUGCUGCUGCUGAGCAGGACUUCGGGCCAGCGGCCACCUAUCAUGACAUCGAAGCCGGCCCCAGAGAUACCAGGACCGAGGCCCCAGGGCGGCAUCGCCUGCUCCACCUCCGCAGAGAGACGUCCCUGUGAGCUUGGGGUGUGGAGCAGACCAGGGAGGAGCCCUCCGUAGAUGCCCUGGGCUUGGAGGUGUCGGCAUGGAUGAAGGCUCAGAUGGAAUCACCCCAGUUCUGCUGCUCCAGUAGCUGUGUGGCUGUGGGCAGGUUCUUCAAGCUGUGCCUCAGUUUCCUUGUCUGUAAAGGGGGAUGUCAUGUACCCUCAGAGCAGGGUUGAGGUGAGGAGUCCACCAGAGCCUGUCUGUGAGGUGGAAGGGCUUGAAUAACGUCCACUAAAAGCUCAUGUCUGCUCGGAACCUGGGAAUGUGACCUUUUUGGAAAUGGUCUUUGCAGAUGUGAUUAAACAGGGGUUGGAGAUGGGAUCAUCCUGGACUAGGGUGGGCACUAGAUCCAAAGACUGGUGUCUCUGCAGGAAUAGAAGACAGAGACACAGGAGGCGGCCACAUGAACACAGAGGCAGACUGGGGCCUCGCGGCCGAAGCCAGGAGCACCGAGGACUGCCACGGUCACCAUGGAGAGAGGCCUGGGACAGACACCACUGCAGAGCCUCCAGAGAACGCAGCCCACCCGCAGCUCGCUCAGCCUUCUGGCCCCUGAGCUGUGAGAAGAUGCAGUUCUGUUUUAAGCUGCUCUGUUUGGACACCUUGUUACAGGAGCCCCAGGAAGCUACUCAGUGGGCGUUUGUGGUUGGCCACCGAUCAUUCCCAAGAUCAUGUCCCCAUCCUAAGCCCUGGGACCUGUUCACGUGACCUGUUGUGGAAAAAGGGCUUUUGCAGAUGUAAUUAGCUUAAGGAUCUUGAGAUGAGAAGAUUAUUCUGGAUUCCCGUGGGCCCCAAAUACCAUCUUCAGUGGCUCCGCCAGAGAUUUGGCACACAGAGGAGGCUGUGUGACCAGAGGAGAGACCGCAGCGAUGUGGCCACAAGCCAAGGGCACCGGGAGCCCCCAGAGGCUGGAAGAGGAGAGGAAGGAGCCUCUCUAGGAGUGGCCACCAUCAGCAGCCACCAAAACGGGGAGGGAAUCAGUUCUGUGAGUGUCUGAUGGCAGCCUCAGGAAAUAGGCACAGUUUCCCAUUCGCAGCCUGGCCUCUAUCCCCAUCUGGGGGUUUCCCCACAGCCUGGCCUCCCCCCAUAGCCCAGGGUCUCCCCACAGCCAGGUCUCUCCCCAUAUCCUGGGGUGUUCCUGCAGUCUGGCUUCUCCCCACAGCCUGGGGUCUUCCUACAGCCUGGUAUCUUCCCAUAGCCUGAGGCCUUCUCACAGCCCGGGGUCUCCCCACAUCCUGGGGUCUCCCCACAGCCUGGGGCCUUCUCACAGUCUGGGGUCUCCCCAUAUCCUGGGGUCUCCCUGCAGCCUGGGACCUUCUCAUAUCCUGGGGUUCCCAUAUCCUGGGUCUCCCCACAUCCUGGGGUCUCCCUGCAGUCUACCCAUGGUGCCAGGGCAGCUCUUCCUCCUGACAGGCGUGAGGGGCCCUGGGUGUAGAGAAUAAACUCCACCCAUCGGAUGCGAAUUUCAGCAGCCCUGGGUUGGGUGAGUUUCCUGGAGCUGUGGCUGAGGGGUCAGGGGUGCAGUUCGCUGACUCUCCAGCUCAGCACACCCAGGGAGCUGGCGGGGUUCCCUGACACAGGGCAGCAGGUGGAGGCUGAGACAAAGGCUGAGCCAGCCGGGGGCUCUAGGGAGACACGCACCAGGCCCACUCCACAGGCAGCAGGACCCCAGGCUCACUGUGGGCAUUUGAGGAGUGGGUGUCAGGGCGGCCAGAAGCAGCCAGGGUGGAGGUCGUGGGGGAUCAUCUCGGUGGGCAGAGCCUCGGGGCCCUGGGGUGGAGGGAGUGAGGCUGGAGAGCCUGGCUGGCUGCGCUGGCAGGAUAACGCCUAACACGGUCCCGGAGAUGGCGCUUCUCCCACGGACAAGGGGAGGUAACGCGGGAACAGACUGUAAUCAGGUUCCAGGUCCAAUAAAGGUGAACCUCGAGGCGGAAAGGACCUAGCUGCAGGUGAGCGCAGUCCUCCAUGUGUGAGUGCAUGUGUGUGUUGUAUGUGUAAGCGUGUGGCCCAGAGCCCGUCCAUGGCAGCCCAUUGGUGGGUCCGGCCCUGCCUGCAGAUUCAGCUUUCCACUGCAAAGCAAUAUGCAGUGUGUGAAAAGGCAACACAGAUCCGUGGCACCACCAUGAGCCUCAGUGUUAGAUUUGGAAUGGAAUCCCUCCCUCCCUCCCACUUUAAACUGUGAGUCCUUGGAAAAGUUACCUGACCUUUCUCAUGUUCACAUUCUUACCUGUAAACCCUCCCGGAGUUGAAAUGAGCCGUAAGUGAAACACCGUGUGGCAACGGGGGUGGGGAUGGGGGAGGCGCGCAGUCACCCUCGCCUUCCUUUUCCUUUUCUUGGUAAUUGUGUUCUUCUAUGUCAAAGGAAAAGAAUAAAACCCGAAAAUUAUUUGGGGGAAAAAGAAAAAGACACACAUGCAAGUGCCACAGGAAGCUGUGGGGUUCGGCCUGCAGGGGAGACGCUCUGUGGUGUUCGGUAUGUCGGUGGGGUUCGGCCUGCAGGGGAGAGACGCUCUGUGGUGUUCGGUAGGUCGGUGGGGUUCGGCCUGCAGGGGAGACGCUCUGUGGUGUUCGGGAAGUCAGUGGGGUUCGGCCUGCAGGGGAGAGACGCUCUGUGGUGUUCGGGAAGUCAGCCCUCAGUACAGCAGUUGUGGGAGCCUCUGUGGUUCCGGAUCCACAUCAACUAGAAUUCUAUGUUCCAGGGAAAACUGCUUUCAGUGCUGACUUAUACUCAACACUGCAAGGCCAUCCAUGGAGCAGAGUAAACAUCCCAUCCCAUCAUGCCCCACGCCCU